UUUGCAUAUUUCUAAAUAGCGGAGGAAAAGAAACCAACAGGGAUUGCCUUAGUAGCGGCGAGUGAAGCGGCAAAAGCUCAAAUUUGAAAUCUGGCGCCUUCGGUGUCCGAGUUGUAAUUUGAAGAUUGUAACCUUGGGGUUGGCUCUUGUCUAUGUUUCUUGGAACAGGACGUCACAGAGGGUGAGAAUCCCGUGCGAUGAGAUGCCCAAUUCUAUGUAAGGUGCUUUCGAAGAGUCGAGUUGUUUGGGAAUGCAGCUCUAAGUGGGUGGUAAAUUCCAUCUAAAGCUAAAUAUUGGCGAGAGACCGAUAGCGAACAAGUACAGUGAUGGAAAGAUGAAAAGAACUUUGAAAAGAGAGUGAAAAAGUACGUGAAAUUGUUGAAAGGGAAGGGUUUGAGAUCAGACUCGAUAUUUUGUGAGCCUUGCCUUCGUGGCGGGGUGACCCGCAGCUUAUCGGGCCAGCAUCGGUUUGGGCGGUAGGAUAAUGGCGUAGGAAUGUGACUUUACUUCGGUGAAGURUUAUAGCCUGCGUUGAUGCUGCCUGCCUAGACCGAGGACUGCGAUUUUAUCAAGGAUGCUGGCAUAAUGAUCCCAAACCGCCCGUCUUGAAAAACGGGACCCAA
RNAcentral lists this ribosomal RNA (623 nucleotides) under Meyerozyma guilliermondii. RNAcentral describes it as "eukaryotic LSU rRNA". It matches the Rfam family "Eukaryotic large subunit ribosomal RNA", at positions 35 to 664 of the family's 3401-position model. Lineage: Eukaryota; Fungi; Ascomycota; Pichiomycetes; Serinales; Debaryomycetaceae. The record is from RNAcentral.